UAGCGGCGGACGGGUGAGUAAUGCUUAGGAAUCUGCCUAUUAGUGGGGGACAACAUCUCGAAAGGGAUGCUAAUACCGCAUACGUCCUACGGGAGAAAGCAGGGGAUCUUCGGACCUUGUGCUAAUAGAUGAGCCUAAGUCGGAUUAGCUAGUUGGUGGGGUAAAGGCCUACCAAGGCGACGAUCUGUAGCGGGUCUGAGAGGAUGAUCCGCCACACUGGGACUGAGACACGGCCCAGACUCC
This 243-nucleotide ribosomal RNA is filed under the name uncultured bacterium. Its description in RNAcentral is "partial 16S ribosomal RNA". It matches the Rfam family "Bacterial small subunit ribosomal RNA", at positions 93 to 339 of the family's 1533-position model. The record is from RNAcentral.